AGUGAACGCUGGCGGUAGGCCUAACACAUGCAAGUCGAACGGCAGCACAGUAAGAGCUUGCUCUUACGGGUGGCGAGUGGCGGACGGGUGAGGAAUACAUCGGAAUCUACUUUUUCGUGGGGGAUAACGUAGGGAAACUUACGCUAAUACCGCAUACGACCUACGGGUGAAAGCAGGGGAUCUUCGGACCUUGCGCGAUUGAAUGAGCCGAUGUCGGAUUAGCUAGUUGGCGGGGUAAAGGCCCACCAAGGCGACGAUCCGUAGCUGGUCUGGGAGGAUGAUCAGCCACACUGGAACUGAGGCACGGUCCAGACUCCUACGGGAGGCAGCAGUGGGGAAUAUUGGACAAUGGGCGCAAGCCUGAUCCAGCCAUACCGCGUGGGUGAAGAAGGCCUUCGGGUUGUAAAGCCCUUUUGUUGGGAAAGAAAAGCAGCAGGUUAAUACCCCGCUGUUCUGACGGUACCCAAAGAAUAAGCACCGGCUAACUUCGUG
This 492-nucleotide ribosomal RNA is filed under the name uncultured bacterium. Its description in RNAcentral is "partial 16S ribosomal RNA". It matches the Rfam family "Bacterial small subunit ribosomal RNA", at positions 29 to 507 of the family's 1533-position model. The record is from RNAcentral.